AGUGAACGCUGGCGGUAGGCCUAACACAUGCAAGUCGAACGGCAGCACAGUAAGAGCUUGCUCUUACGGGUGGCGAGUGGCGGACGGGUGAGGAAUACAUCGUAAUCUACUUUUUCGUGGGGGAUAACGUAGGGAAACUUACGCUAAUACCGCAUACGACCUACGGUUGAAAGCAGGGGAUCUUCGGACCUUGCGCGAUUGAAUGCGCCGCUUUCGGAUUAGCUAGUUGGCGGGGUAAAGCCCAACCCAGGCGACGAUCCGUAGCUGGUCUGAGAGGAUGAUCAGCCACACUGGAACUGAGACACGGUCCAGACUCCUACGGGAGGCAGCAGUGGGGAAUAUUGGACAAUGGGCGCAAGCCUGAUCCAGCCAUACCGCGUGGGUGAAGAAGGCCUUCGGGUUGUAAAGCCCUUUUGUUGGGAAAGAAAAGCAGCAGGUUAAUACCCCGCUGUUCUGACGGUACCCAAAGAAUAAGCACCGGCUAACUUCGUG
This 492-nucleotide ribosomal RNA is filed under the name uncultured bacterium. Its description in RNAcentral is "partial 16S ribosomal RNA". It matches the Rfam family "Bacterial small subunit ribosomal RNA", at positions 29 to 507 of the family's 1533-position model. The record is from RNAcentral.